CCUGGCGGUAACCCUGACCUGCCCACAGAGGCUAAGAUAGGGACAAGGGCACUAGCUCAUGCACAGGCCAUUCAAGGGAGGCAGGCGUUUUCUUAAAGCACCUUCCUCCCCGGAUGUUUUAGGAACAGAGACGCUGUCACUUCAUGACAAGAGAAUACAAGAAUACGGGACAGAAAGUGAGAACGGGCUCUGGCAGAGGGAGAGGCACUUUCUGGCAGACACAGCCGUCAAGCAGUGCGGUGCUCCCUGCUCUCUCCAGCGGCUUUGAGGAGAAGAGAGCCACUCCUCUGUGUGCAGAGGGGCUGAUGUCAGCUCUGCCUCGGGGCAACCAGGAUAGCUAGGUCUCUGGUUCCCCGUAAAACAGUCUGUGGUUACUCAUCCGGCUGCAGCUAAGAGUCUAGAUGGUAAGAAGUGGUCAUUUCGUGUGUCAACUGGUUCACUGGAGGGUGACCUCGUGGAGAAAAGAGAAGCCAGAUAGGGGAGAGGAAGCAGCUGGAAUCUGAGAGAAGCUGGCCUGAUUCCUGAGUGAUGUCUGCCAUCGGCGAGAAGGGGACCGUAGAGGGGAGCAGGGAGAAAGCAAAUGAGGCAAGCAGGAGGGUCAAAGAAAACACUGCUCCAAAGAAGUAGCAGAGAAAGAAGAGAAAGGUGAGUACAAAUGGAGGCAGAAUGUGAAAUAAGGGCAGACAGGCAUAAUAAACAAGCAGGACCAGAGGUUCUAUAAUAGGCAUCUGCUGGGCUGGGUCACAGUGGGGAGGGUGGGUGCAGAACCCUGGAAUAUAGGUGGAUAGAGAGGAGAAAGGAAAAGAACAAAUUUAAACCCAUAGUCCCAGAAUAUGGCCUUUAAUAAAAUUGGGAUCUAGUUAGGUCACAGAGCAAAAAAGGUAUUUAUGAACCAAAGGCAAGAACAUGGAGGUGCCUGGCAUCAAUACUAGGCCUUUCCCUAGCUAGUACUUGCCUGCUCACCAAAUGAAUGAACUGACAAUGACUGGUGGACACCACAGGCAAUACCCUCACAGUCAAGGAAAGAUAGAACAAUGGAAAGUCUGGGUUCAUAUGGUAGCUGGAGGGAGCCAGUGGAUACAAGUCUCUAAAAAAUAAUUUAAUGUUAGCCAAAUCUGCCCAAUCAUAGUAAGCAGCUGGGAAGUUUGGUAAAAAUAUAAUGCCAAAACUAUACCUGUGUAUUAAAAUUGAACUUCAGCAGGUCUGGGUAAGGUCUGGAAAUCUUACCAAGCAUGCCAGGAGGAGGUUUUUAGAUGCAUCUGGAGUCUCAG
Molecule: long non-coding RNA, 1271 nt
Organism: Felis catus (domestic cat)
Lineage: Eukaryota; Metazoa; Chordata; Mammalia; Carnivora; Felidae
Exons: 3
Source: RefSeq, a predicted model, not a curated record